CCCUUAGAUGUUCUGGGCCGCACGCGCGCUACACUGAUGCAUUCAACGAGUCUAAAACCUGCUCUGAUAGGGGUGGGUAAUCUUUUGAAUGUGCAUCGUGAUUGGGAUAGAUGAUUGCAAUUUUUCAUCUUCAACGAGGAAUGCCUAGUAAACGCAAGUCAUCAGCUUGCAUUGAUUACGUCCCUGCCCUUUGUACACACCGCCCGUCGCUCCUACCGAUUGAAUGGCUUAGUGAGGCCUCAGGAUCCGCGCUUAAUGUGUGGAGAAUUUGGACAAACUACGUCAUUUAGAGGAAGUAAAAGUCGUAACA
RNAcentral lists this ribosomal RNA (310 nucleotides) under uncultured eukaryote. Its description in RNAcentral is "partial 18S ribosomal RNA". It matches the Rfam family "Eukaryotic small subunit ribosomal RNA", at positions 1470 to 1796 of the family's 1831-position model. The record is from RNAcentral.